CCUGGUGAGGGAGCAGAGCGCCAACGGGUCUCAGGACGCUGCGAAGGGGACCCGGCAGCUGUCUCUUUCCUGCUCAGAAAGCACUGGGGGGAGAGGCGGCUGGGAUGCCGGACUAGUACUACCGACAGGCCAGUAGCCUGCUCCCAGGUUCUCUGGGAGAAAGUUCAGGCUGUCUGCUGAUCUGCUGAGAGCCUGGUGGAAUCCCGCUCUCCCACCUGCAAGGCCUUUUCACUGAGGACUAGUGACCCCGACUCAGUAAGUAGUGGCAGGACCACAGCUGAAGGUCAGAUCAGCUUCACCGAGGAAGAAGAAGGCAGAAAGGCCCCAGCGAUGACGCCAGUGACUUACUUAGGUGAGAGGGGACCACUUUUUCUAGCAGUGGGAGGGGCACAACAUGCUGGGCCGCCAGAAUGUAUCUGGAUUUUAUACCUAGCGCUCUCCUGACGACUUUGUGAACCACUGAGUGUAAUUCUCUAGAUGAAGAACAAAGCCAUGAGGGUAGAACUCAAGAGUUCAUGGGCCGAGAGGCUUGAACUGGGAUCCUCACUCCGGUCCUUGUGCUUUGCGCCACCUGCACUUAACCUGCUGCGCUACCUUCCGACUCCCAAGAGUUAUUCUUUUUUAAUUUUUUAAAAUUUUAUUUAUUUUCC
This is a long non-coding RNA of Erinaceus europaeus (western European hedgehog), 650 nucleotides long. RefSeq lists it as uncharacterized. The transcript is spliced from 3 exons. NCBI's taxonomy places the organism in Eukaryota, Metazoa, Chordata, Mammalia, Eulipotyphla, Erinaceidae. The record is from RefSeq and is a predicted model, not a curated record.